UCUCUGGUGAUCCAGUGGUUAAGACUCUGCACUUCCAAUGAAGUGGACACAGGUUUGAUUCCUGGUCGGGGAA
RNAcentral lists this transfer RNA (73 nucleotides) under Bos taurus (domestic cattle). It matches the Rfam family "tRNA". Rfam says of the family: Transfer RNA (tRNA) molecules are approximately 80 nucleotides in length. Their secondary structure includes four short double-helical elements and three loops (D, anti-codon, and T loops). Lineage: Eukaryota; Metazoa; Chordata; Mammalia; Artiodactyla; Bovidae. RNAcentral also lists the same sequence under 2 other names. The record is from Rfam by way of RNAcentral.